GAUGAACGCUGGCGGCGUGCCUAAUACAUGCAAGUCGAGCGAACAGACGAGGAGCUUGCUCCUCUGACGUUAGCGGCGGACGGGUGAGUAACACGUGGAUAACCUACCUAUAAGACUGGGAUAACUUCGGGAAACCGGAGCUAAUACCGGAUAAUAUAUUGAACCGCAUGGUUCAAUAGUGAAAGACGGUUUUGCUGUCACUUAUAGAUGGAUCCGCGCCGCAUUAGCUAGUUGGUAAGGUAACGGCUUACCAAGGCAACGAUGCGUAGCCGACCUGAAGGGGUGAUCGGCCACACUGGAACUGAGACACGGUCCAGACUCCUACGGGGGGCAGCAGUAGGGAAUCUUCCGCAAUGGGCGAAAGCCUGACGGAGCAACGCCGCGUGAGUGAUGAAGGUCUUCGGAUCGUAAAACUCUGUUAUUAGGGAAGAACAAAUGUGUAAGUAACUAUGCACGUCUUGACGGUACCUAAUCAGAAAGCCACGGCUAACUCCGUG
RNAcentral lists this ribosomal RNA (497 nucleotides) under uncultured bacterium. Its description in RNAcentral is "partial 16S ribosomal RNA". It matches the Rfam family "Bacterial small subunit ribosomal RNA", at positions 28 to 507 of the family's 1533-position model. The record is from RNAcentral.